Molecule: ribosomal RNA, 253 nt
Filed under: uncultured bacterium
Lineage: Bacteria
Description: partial 16S ribosomal RNA
Rfam family: Bacterial small subunit ribosomal RNA
Source: RNAcentral
UACGUAGGGAGCAAGCGUUGUCCGGAAUCAUUGGGCGUAAAGCGCGCGUAGGUGGCCAUGUAAGUCCGCUGUGAAAGUCAAAGGCUCAACCUUUGAAAGCCGGUGGAUACUGCAUGGCUAGAGUACGGAAGAGGCGAGUGGAAUUCCUGGUGUAGCGGCGGAAUGCGCAGAUAUCAGGAGGAACACCAAUAGCGAAGGCAGCUCGCUGGGACGUUACUGACACUGAGGCGCGAAAGCGUGGGGAGCGAACAGG